UACGAAGGUGGCAAGCGUUGUUCGGAUUUACUGGGCGUACAGGGAGCGUAGGCGGUUGGAUAAGCCCUCCGUGAAAUCUCCAGGCUUAACCUGGAAAGUGCAGAGGGGACUGUUCAGCUAGAGGAUGGGAGAGGAGCGCGGAAUUCCCGGGUGUAGCGGUGAAAUGCGUAGAGAUCGGGAGGAAGGCCGGUGGCGAAGGCGGCGCUCUGGAACAUUUCUGACGCUGAGGCUCGAAAGCGUGGGUAGCAAACAGG
Molecule: ribosomal RNA, 254 nt
Filed under: uncultured bacterium
Lineage: Bacteria
Description: partial 16S ribosomal RNA
Rfam family: Bacterial small subunit ribosomal RNA
Source: RNAcentral